AGCGAACGCUGGCGGCAGGCCUAACACAUGCAAGUCGAACGAAGUCUUCGGACUUAGUGGCGGACGGGUGAGUAACACGUGGGAACGUACCUUUUGGUUCGGAACAACUCAGGGAAUCUUGAGCUAAUACCGAAUGUGCCCUUCGGGGGAAAGAUUUAUCGCCAUUAGAGCGGCCCGCGUUAGAUUAGCUAGUUGGUGGG
RNAcentral lists this ribosomal RNA (200 nucleotides) under uncultured bacterium. RNAcentral describes it as "partial 16S ribosomal RNA". It matches the Rfam family "Bacterial small subunit ribosomal RNA", at positions 29 to 256 of the family's 1533-position model. The record is from RNAcentral.